CAGCGCCGCGGGAAUACGAAGGGUGCAAGCGUUAAUCGGAAUUACUGGGCGUAAAGCGUGCGUAGGCGGUGAGUUAAGUCUGCUGUGAAAUCCCCGGGCUCAACCUGGGAAUGGCAGUGGAUACUGGCUCGCUAGAGUGUGUCAGAGGAUGGUGGAAUUCCCGGUGUAGCGGUGAAAUGCGUAGAGAUCGGGAGGAACAUCAGUGGCGAAGGCGGCCAUCUGGGACAACACUGACGCUGAGGCACGAAAGCGUGGGGAGCAAACAGGAUUAGAUACCCGCGUAGUCCCUGACUCUUAUACC
Molecule: ribosomal RNA, 301 nt
Filed under: uncultured bacterium
Lineage: Bacteria
Description: partial 16S ribosomal RNA
Rfam family: Bacterial small subunit ribosomal RNA
Source: RNAcentral